This 498-nucleotide ribosomal RNA is filed under the name Triticum aestivum (bread wheat). RNAcentral's name for it is "partial small subunit ribosomal RNA". The record is from RNAcentral. Lineage: Eukaryota; Viridiplantae; Streptophyta; Magnoliopsida; Poales; Poaceae.
GGGAAGCAAGGGGAGAGAUGAAGAGCUAAAGCAGGCGGGGCUUCGAGUACGAGUGGCAACGGCGCAGCUAGUGCGCCGGUAGCUGGAGGGGAGCAGUGCGGUUCUACAGGUUUUCGAGGCGGUAGCAGCAGAGGAAGAGGGAGCGGAUACACGAGCUCGAUCCUCCGGGGCAUGCGUGCGGUAGCGGCAGCAGGAGUUGGAGGCCGGUUGCGCCGCGGUACCUGUUUAGGCAGCGGAAGUGACGUAGGGGCCGGAGGAGCUCGAGGAGAAGGCUGAGCGCUACGGCCUCGGGUCCUAGAUCUGCGGUGGCAACUGCUGCUGAGGAUGAUGUGGCCUCCACGGAUGAUGAUACACGUCGGGCGACUGCUGCUGGUCCUCAUCAAUCCUCCUAGGGUCCGUCCUCCGGACGCGGAGAAAGCUAGACAUAGGGUCAAACACGAUCGGUAGAAUACCGUUGAACAAAUUGAAUACAGACGUGAGUCUAUAACAACGAAGGCG